GAUGAACGCUGGCGGCGUGCCUAAUACAUGCAAGUCGAGCGAACAGAUGAGGAGCUUGCUCCUCUGACGUUAGCGGCGGACGGGUGAGUAACACGUGGAUAACCUACCUAUAAGACUUGGAUAACUUCGGGAAACCGGAGCUAAUACCGGAUAAUAUAUUGAACCGCAUGGUUCAAUAGUGAAAGAUGGUUUUGCUGUCACUUAUAGAUGGAUCCGCGCCGCAUUAGCUAGUUGGUAAGGUAACGGCUUACCAAGGCAACGAUGCGUAGCCGACCUGAGAGGGUGAUCGGCCACACUGGAACUGAGACACGGUCCAGACUCCUACGGGAGGCAGCAGUAGGGAAUCUUCCGCAAUGGGCGAAAGCUUGACGGAGCAACGCCGCGUGAGUGAUGAAGGUCUUCGGAUCGUAAAACUCUGUUAUUAGGGAAGAACAAAUGUGUAAGUAACUAUGCACGUCUUGACGGUACCUAAUCAGAAAGCCACGGCUAACUACGUG
Molecule: ribosomal RNA, 497 nt
Filed under: uncultured bacterium
Lineage: Bacteria
Description: partial 16S ribosomal RNA
Rfam family: Bacterial small subunit ribosomal RNA
Source: RNAcentral